GGCGAGGAAUACAUGGGUAACGUGCCUCGAGCACGAGGACAGCCGGGGGAAACUCCGGUUAAUACUCGAUAAGACCACAGCACCGCAGGGUGCAGGGGUCAAAGUGUGGGGACCUUCGGGCCUGCCGGCUCGAGAGCGGCCCAUGUCCUAUCAGCUUGUUGGUGGGGUAACGGCCUACCAAGGCUACGACGGGUACCGGGACUGAGAGGUUGACCCGGCGCAUCGGGACUGAGACACUGCCCGGACUCCUACGGGAGGCUGCAGUAACGAAUAUUGGGCAAUGGGCGAAAGCCUGACCCAGCGACGCCGCGUGUGGGAAGAAUGCCUUCGGGUUGUAAACCACUGUCAGGGAUUACCAACCAACCGGUGUGAAUAGCGCCGGGAGUUGAGGAGUCCCAGAGGAAGUCACGGCUAACUUCGUGCCAGCAGCCGCGGUAAUACGAAGGUGGCUAGCGUUGUUCGGAAUCACUGGGCUUAAAGAGCACGUAGGCGGAUGAUCAAGCGUCUUGUGAAAGCCCUCGGCUCAACCGGGGAAUUGCUUGGCGAACUGAUCAUCUUGAGGCAGGUAGGGGCGAGUGGAACUCUUGGUGGAGCGGUGGAAUGCUUAGAUAUCAAGAGGAACGCCAGAGGCGAAGGCGACUCGCUGGGCCUGACCUGACGCUGAGGUGCGAAAGCCAGGGGAGCGAACGGGAUUAGAUACCCCGGUAGUCCUGGCCCUAAACGAUGUCCACUAGGUCGGUGAGGUUCUAAUGCUUUGCUGGCCGAAACAAAAGCGUUAAGUGGACCGCCUGGGGAGUACGGUCGCAAGGCUAAAACUCAAAGGAAUUGACGGGGGCUCACACAAGCGGUGGAGCAUGUUGCUUAAUUCGAUGCAACGCGAAGAACCUUAUCCUGGGCUUGACAUACACGGAUGCCCUCCUGGAAACAGGUCGGGUUGCCCUUCGGGGUGAAACGUACACAGGUGCUGCAUGGCUGUCGUCAGCUCGUGUCGUGAGAUGUUGGGUUAAGUCCCGUAACGAGCGAAACCCUUGUCGCUAGUUGCCAGCGCGUAAUGGCGGGGACUCUAGCGAGACUGCCGGUGUUAAACCGGAGGAAGGUGGGGAUGACGUCAAGUCCUCAUGGCCUUUAUGCCCAGGGCUGCAAACGUG
This 1148-nucleotide ribosomal RNA is filed under the name uncultured organism. RNAcentral describes it as "bacterial SSU rRNA". It matches the Rfam family "Bacterial small subunit ribosomal RNA", at positions 105 to 1224 of the family's 1533-position model. The record is from RNAcentral.